Molecule: ribosomal RNA, 474 nt
Filed under: uncultured bacterium
Lineage: Bacteria
Description: bacterial SSU rRNA
Rfam family: Bacterial small subunit ribosomal RNA
Source: RNAcentral
ACUCCUACGGGAGGCAGCAGUGGGGAAUAUUGCACAAUGGGGGAAACCCUGAUGCAGCCAUGCCGCGUGUGUGAAGAAGGCCUUCGGGUUGUAAAGCACUUUCAGUAGGGAGGAAGGUAGUGUAGUUAACACCUGCACUAUUUGACGUUACCUACAGAAGAAGCACCGGCUAACUCCGUGCCAGCAGCCGCGGUAAUACGGAGGGUGCGAGCGUUAAUCGGAAUUACUGGGCGUAAAGCGCAUGCAGGCGGCCUGUUAAGUCAGAUGUGAAAGCCCGGGGCUUAACCUCGGAAUUGCAUUUGAAACUGGCAGGCUAGAGUCUUGUAGAGGGGGGUAGAAUUUCAGGUGUAGCGGUGAAAUGCGUAGAGAUCUGAAGGAAUACCAGUGGCGAAGGCGGCCCCCUGGACAAAGACUGACGCUCAGAUGCGAAAAGCGUGGGGAGCAAACAGGAUUAGAUACCCUGGUAGGAUAGCG